CGAACCCCCGUGCGUUUCCGGUGCGGUGCCGUCCGCUUCCGACGGGCUUCCCUGCGCCGUCGCUGGGGGAUGCCCUCCCGGGGGCUCCCUCUCGUCGGCCGUCCCCACGCCGAGGGCCGGUGCCGCGACGAGGCUGGGUCGUCGCUCCUCCCCCUCUGGUCGGGUUGCCGGUGGCCGGGUUGCCCGCGUGCCCCCCUCCGUGGGGUCGCCGCCGUUGGGUUUGUCGGUGGCUGCCGUCCCCCGCGUCGGCCCGUCCCGCUUGCCGCCUCGGGGAAACGGUCGUUCCUCCGAGCCCCCCCACUGCUGUGUCGUGUCUCGUUUUUACCUUCCGUUUACGCGUUGUGGGGGUUGCUUUGGGGUGUUGGGGGGGGCCACGCGCCUCUCCCUCCCUCCUCCCUCCCGCGUAUCCCAAAAAAACCUAAAUUCGGACAACUCUUAGCGGUGGAUCACUCGGCUCGUGCGUCGAUGAAGAACGCAGCUAGCUGCGAGAAUUAA
Molecule: long non-coding RNA, 495 nt
Filed under: Monodelphis domestica (gray short-tailed opossum)
Lineage: Eukaryota; Metazoa; Chordata; Mammalia; Didelphimorphia; Didelphidae
Description: lncRNA (ENSMODG00000043349.1)
Rfam family: 5.8S ribosomal RNA (bases 431-495)
Source: RNAcentral